UACGAAGGGGGCUAGCGUUGCUCGGAAUCACUGGGCGUAAAGGGUGCGUAGGCGGGUCUUUUAAGUCAGAGGUGAAAUCCUGGAGCUCAACUCCAGAACUGCCUUUGAUACUGAGGAUCUUGAGUUCGGGAGAGGUGAGUGGAACUGCGAGUGUAGAGGUGAAAUUCGUAGAUAUUCGCAAGAACACCAGUGGCGAAGGCGGCUCACUGGCCCGAUACUGACGCUGAGGCACGAAAGCGUGGGGGAGCAAACAGG
RNAcentral lists this ribosomal RNA (255 nucleotides) under uncultured bacterium. RNAcentral's name for it is "partial 16S ribosomal RNA". It matches the Rfam family "Bacterial small subunit ribosomal RNA", at positions 524 to 776 of the family's 1533-position model. The record is from RNAcentral.